GUAGACGUAGCUCAGUAGGCAGAGCAUUUCGCCAAUAAUGAAAAUGUCGCUGGUUCAAGCCCAGCCGUCUGCA
RNAcentral lists this transfer RNA (73 nucleotides) under Caudoviricetes sp. RNAcentral describes it as "tRNA-Ile". It matches the Rfam family "tRNA". Rfam says of the family: Transfer RNA (tRNA) molecules are approximately 80 nucleotides in length. The record is from RNAcentral. Lineage: Duplodnaviria; Heunggongvirae; Uroviricota; Caudoviricetes.